CUAUGUAAUAAAAGUAGUAUUGCUUCUUCAUAACUCAAAGAAUUUGGCGGCUAAUAAUAUUUCCAGAGGAACCUGUGUAUUAAUUGAUAAUCCACGAUAGUUUAAACUUCUUUUUUAUUUAUAUAUCUCUAUUUUAGGAAUGUUUUUUAAGAAUAAUUUUCUUUUUGUUUAUUCAUAAAUAUUAGGUCAAGGUGUAGUUUUAAAGAUAGAUUAUGUGGGUUACUUUAGUUUUAAUUUUAAUUUUAUUAAUUAUUAUAUUAUUAUGUUAUUUAGGAUUUGGUAGUAAAUUAAUUUAAUUAAUUUUUUUGAAUUUU
Molecule: ribosomal RNA, 314 nt
Filed under: Platycentrus sp. CPL-2004
Lineage: Eukaryota; Metazoa; Arthropoda; Insecta; Hemiptera; Membracidae
Description: partial 12S small subunit ribosomal RNA
Source: RNAcentral